CAGUAGCCGCGGUAAUACGGAGGGGGCUAGCGUUGUUCGGAAUUACUGGGCGUAAAGCGCACGUAGGCGGCUUGGUAAGUUAGAGGUGAAAGCCCAGGGCUCAACCCUGGAAUUGCCUUUAAGACUGCCGAGCUAGUAGGUGAGAGAGGUAAGUGGAAUUCCGAGUGUAGAGGUGAAAUUCGUAGAUAUUCGGAAGAACACCAGUGGCGAAGGCGGCUUACUGGCUCAUUCUAGACGCUGAGGUGCGAAAGCGUGGGGAGCAAACAGGAUUAGAUACCCGUGUAGUCCCUGUCUCUUAUAC
Molecule: ribosomal RNA, 301 nt
Filed under: uncultured bacterium
Lineage: Bacteria
Description: partial 16S ribosomal RNA
Rfam family: Bacterial small subunit ribosomal RNA
Source: RNAcentral